CCUACGGGAGGCAGCAGUGAGGAAUAUUGGGCAAUGGACGCAAGUCUGACCCAGCCAUGCCGCGUGCAGGAUGAAGGCCCUAUGGGUUGUAAACUGCUUUUGUAUAGGAGGAAAUCCCUGAACGAGUUUCAGGGUUGACAGUACUGUGCGAAUAAGCAUCGGCUAACUCCGUGCCAGCAGCCGCGGUAAUACGGAGGAUGCAAGCGUUAUCCGGAUUUAUUGGGUUUGAAGGGUGCGUAGGCGGGACAAUAAGUCAGAGGUGAAAUCUCCCGGCUUAGCCGGGAAACUGUCUUUGAUACUGUUGUCCUUGAGUAUAGUUGAGGUGGGCGGAAUGUGUAAUGUAGCGGUGAAAUGCAUAGAUAUUACACAGAACACCGAUUGCGAAGGCAGCUCACUAAACUAAAACUGACGCUGAGGCACGAAAGCGUGGGUAGCGAACAGGAUUAGAUACCCUGGUAGUCUACGCCGUAAACGAUGAAUACUCGAUGUGUGCGACACAUUGUACGCGUCUGAGCGAAAGCAUUAAGUAUUCCACCUGGGGAGUACGAUCGCAAGAUUGAAACUCAAAGGAAUUGACGG
RNAcentral lists this ribosomal RNA (579 nucleotides) under uncultured bacterium. RNAcentral's name for it is "bacterial SSU rRNA". It matches the Rfam family "Bacterial small subunit ribosomal RNA", at positions 338 to 916 of the family's 1533-position model. The record is from RNAcentral.